This 164-nucleotide ribosomal RNA is filed under the name uncultured bacterium. RNAcentral describes it as "partial 16S ribosomal RNA". It matches the Rfam family "Bacterial small subunit ribosomal RNA", at positions 355 to 511 of the family's 1533-position model. The record is from RNAcentral.
UAGGGAAUCUUCCACAAUGGGCGAAAGCCUGAUGGAGCAACGCCGCGUGUGUGAUGAAGGGUUUCGGCUCGUAAAACACUGUUGUAAGAGAAGAAUGACAUUGAGAGUAACUGUUCAAUGUGUGACGGUAUCUUACCAGAAAGCCACGGCUAACUACGUACCAG